GGGCUUGGCGGUGUUUUAGACCUCUCAGGGGAACCUGUCUCGUAAUCGACAAUCCACGAUAAACCUAACCUUUAAUGGCAAUUCAGCCUGUAUACCGUCGUCGUCAGGUAACUUCUUAAAAUAUAGUAGUUAGCUUGAGAAUUAUAUUAAUUAAAACGUCAGAUCAAGGUGCAGCCAAUGAAGAGGUGAAGAUGGGUUACAAUUACAUAUUUGUAAACACGGAAAAACGUUUGAAAUGAAGUGUCUUAAAGGAGGACUUGAAAGUAAUUUUAUCUAUAUAAAUAGAAUGAAUAGGGCUCUGAAACGUGCACACAUCGCCCGUCGCUCUCGUUGAAAAAUGAGAUAAGUCGUAACAUAGUAGGGGUAAUGGAAAUUGUUCCUAGGC
Molecule: ribosomal RNA, 385 nt
Filed under: Conus ateralbus
Lineage: Eukaryota; Metazoa; Mollusca; Gastropoda; Neogastropoda; Conidae
Description: partial 12S ribosomal RNA
Rfam family: Microsporidia small subunit ribosomal RNA
Source: RNAcentral